Molecule: non-coding RNA, 262 nt
Organism: Poecilia reticulata (guppy)
Lineage: Eukaryota; Metazoa; Chordata; Actinopteri; Cyprinodontiformes; Poeciliidae
Source: RefSeq, a predicted model, not a curated record
UUCCGGAUGAAGUCGGGCAGUAGUAAAAAAAAAAAAAAAAUCUGGUAGCCAUGAAUUUCAGCUAGCUUGCCACCGACAACUGGUUGGUACACUUGAGUAAGUCCAUCCAUGUCAAGACACAAGAAGGAUUUUCGUAGUCCUACGCUGCUUCUGAGUACAUAUAGGACCUCUCCAUCCCGCCUAUCGCCCUGCUGUGAAUCGGAUCUGGCUGGCUCACCGAAGAGACUGCAAGACGUUGGUGCAGAGCUUUUCCAGUUAACUU